AGGCAAUUCACUGCAAUAAUUAAAAAAAAACUGUUGAUCUGUUAUGAAUGCCAUUAUUAUUAUUAAUGUAACUGAGUAUCUUUUGUACUAAUGCUAGCUCUGUCUUCUGUUUGGUUUCUGGUGGACAUGAUGACCAUCAUAUUUACCCAUCAAUUCAGAUAAGUACGUGAUGGGACUGAAAGUGGAAGUUAGAAGUCUGGAAAAUCUGUCAGAGUCUCAGAUUAAAGAGCUGGUGAUUAUACAGCUUCAGGAAGAAUUGAUCAGACAAGGACUACCCAGCAACUUCACCAUGCAUUUGAGAAGCUAUCGUAAAACCAGUCCAUAAGAGAAAAAGGAGCAUUCCAGGACAUUAAAAAUGGUUUGGGUUUCAAGUUUUAUCAAACUGUUACUGAACAUCUGCAUCUUGCAUGUUCUUGCUACUGGUAACUGAUAUUCUGCACUGUACACGAUAUUACAAAAAAUAAAAAUAAAUAAAUAAAUACAUGAUCGCUGCAAUGAUUUGUUAAUUCAGCCCAAGGCACUGGGAUAGGCUCCAGUAUAUCUGUGACCCGACAGGAUGGUUUGGGAAAUGGAUGGAUGGAUGAUUUGUUGACAUGUUCAUAAACCUAUAUGGUAACCCAAACAUCAUAAUAAAUCAGCUGUUUUGCACUUCUGAAAUACAAUUUUAUUUGUCUACAGUAAUGGAAUGUUACAGUACAACAACAUACAGUGGAACAACCAGAUGAAGACAUGACUUACAGAUCAUAUGACACACUUUCAGAAUAAAUGGGACUGGAGGAAGUGUUACUGUAUAUGCGGGUGGCAGGAAUAAUAUGCUUCAGUCAUAAGUUUCCUUUAGAUUUUUUUUUUUUUUUUUUUUUUUUUUUAUUAGAAAUGUUGCAUAUCUGUUUUAUGGACUAUGUGGUAUUUUAUAUGAUAUUAUUUGAAGGUUUAUCAUGCAUUUUAAUAAGUAAUCACACAAAUGUGGAUUUCUUUCUUUAGUUCUGAACCUUAAAAGACCACUGGUGUUGACCAAAUGAACAGUUUAGUUAAUAAAAUAAAAAAAAUCUGAAACAUCUAAACACCCUGUCAUUGAGAAUAAUAACAAAUUAAUCAGGAUAAUUUUGUGACUGACACAGUGAUUUACAAAAUGGGGAGCUACUGUAGAUAAUAUCUUGUGUGUAUUUGUCUGUGUGUGAAGGAUACGGUAUGCAACAAGCUUUUCCUUUUAUUUUGCAAUUUGCAUUUUAAAGUCAAUGUAAUUUCUAUCUACUGUAAGCACAUUUGUGACCCUAGACAUCAAAACCAGUCUUAAGUGUCAAUUUUUCAAAAAUGAGAUUUA
Long non-coding RNA from Onychostoma macrolepis, 1321 nucleotides. RefSeq lists it as uncharacterized. The record is from RefSeq and is a predicted model, not a curated record. The transcript has 3 exons. Lineage: Eukaryota; Metazoa; Chordata; Actinopteri; Cypriniformes; Cyprinidae.